GAUGAACGCUGGCGGCGUGCCUAAUACAUGCAAGUCGAGCGAACAGACGAGGAGCUUGCUCCUUUGACGUUAGCGGCGGACGGGUGAGUAACACGUAGGUAACCUACCUAUAAGACUGGGAUAACUUCGGGAAACCGGAGCUAAUACCGGAUAAUAUUUCGAACCGCAUGGUUCGAUAGUGAAAGAUGGCUUUGCUAUCACUUAUAGAUGGACCUGCGCCGUAUUAGCUAGUUGGUAAGGUAACGGCUUACCAAGGCAACGAUACGCAGCCGACCUGAGAGGGUGAUCGGCCACACUGGAACUGAGACACGGUCCAGACUCCUACGGGAGGCAGCAGUAGGGAAUCUUCCGCAAUGGGCGAAAGCCUGACGGAGCAACGCCGCGUGAGUGAUGAAGGUCUUCGGAUCGUAAAACUCUGUUAUUAGGGAAGAACAAACGUGUAAGUAACUGUGCACGUCUUGACGGUACCUAAUCAGAAAGCCACGGCUAACUACGUG
RNAcentral lists this ribosomal RNA (497 nucleotides) under uncultured bacterium. RNAcentral describes it as "partial 16S ribosomal RNA". It matches the Rfam family "Bacterial small subunit ribosomal RNA", at positions 28 to 507 of the family's 1533-position model. The record is from RNAcentral.